Molecule: non-coding RNA, 134 nt
Organism: Xenopus laevis (African clawed frog)
Lineage: Eukaryota; Metazoa; Chordata; Amphibia; Anura; Pipidae
Source: Rfam
UGGAGGCAUGAGAAGGUGGGGUAGUUGUUGCCAUACUGCUUCCUACUGGUUAUAUCCUCCUACAGUAUCAAUGCGCCGGCUGCGCGGAUUCCUACGCACGUUAGUGAACCCUGCAGUCUCCGCACUAACACUUU